AUGAUGGUAUACUGCCCUCCAGUACUGGGGAUCAAACCCAGGGCCUCCUACUUUACCUGCAUUUUAAAAGCUGGGAACUGCUACUGCGAGAAUGAAGACGCUUUCUCAUGGCCCCUGGGGCACAGCAAGCACUUGCCUCCUGGUCACCCCCCAGGGUCUGAAGGGCUGUGCUGUGUUCUCCUGGAGGCCCCACCUGCUCUGAGGAAUGGCUCCUCAGUCCCUGCCACACCCUUGGGUGGAAGCCGCGGGGUUUGCAGGCACAGGGCCAUGCAGCACUGAACACGGGUGUUCUGUGGGCUCAGAGGAAGCCCUGUCACAGCUCAGGCCAACCAUGUCACCAAACUUUUUCUCUGAAGGGCCAGAUAGUAAAUAUCUUAGGUUUUACAGCCCACAGAGCCUCUUUGCCAACUACUGGACUCUACCGUUUCAACACAAAAGCAGCUACAGACAUAAAUGAAUAAACUUGGCUGUGUUCUGAUAAAAUCUUAUUUAUGGAUACUGAAAUCUGAAUUUGCUAAAAUUUGGCAGAGGUACUUGGUAUUGUACCCAAGGCCUUCACACUGAACUACAUCCCCAGCCCUUUACUGUGAGACGAGGCCUUGCUACAUUGUCCAAGCUGGGCUCAAACUCUAGGUCCUCCUGCCUCAGCCUCUCAGCAUGCAGAGAUUACAAGUGUGAGCCAC
Molecule: long non-coding RNA, 683 nt
Filed under: Chinchilla lanigera (long-tailed chinchilla)
Lineage: Eukaryota; Metazoa; Chordata; Mammalia; Rodentia; Chinchillidae
Description: lncRNA (ENSCLAG00000029157.1)
Source: RNAcentral